This 253-nucleotide ribosomal RNA is filed under the name uncultured bacterium. RNAcentral describes it as "partial 16S ribosomal RNA". It matches the Rfam family "Bacterial small subunit ribosomal RNA", at positions 524 to 776 of the family's 1533-position model. The record is from RNAcentral.
GACAGAGGGUGCAAACGUUGUUCGGAAUUACUGGGCGUAAAGCGCGUGUAGGCGGCCCUGCAAGUCGGGUGUGAAAUCCCACGGCUCAACCGUGGAAGUGCAUUCGAAACUGCAGGGCUGGAGUCCUGGAGAGGAAGGCGGAAUUCUCGGUGUAGAGGUGAAAUUCGUAGAUAUCGAGAGGAACACCGGUGGCGAAGGCGGCCUUCUGGACAGUGACUGACGCUGAGACGCGAAAGCGUGGGGAGCAAACAGG